CAAAGACACCGAAGAAUCCGAUGACGGUUGCGAUAUCAUAGUCCCAAAGCUUCUUCCAAAUCUCUUCUCCGCUUAAACUCCCAACUUCGGCACUAAACACAAGCACAAGAACCGGUAUCGUCGCCAAGUAAACCGCAUGGUUUAUGAGGUAGUGAUAACCAAGUUUCACGUACUUCAAGUUCACGGAUUGAAGAAAAUCCGGUAAACGUCUCCGGACUCUGACCGAGAACGUUGGUGAACCGGCGUUUGGACCGGAAGGUUCGAUCCCACGGUUAACAAUCUCGGUAGAGAGUAGAUCUUGUUCGCUAGACCUACUCAUUUCUUCUUUGUUUUGGAGAUAAGUUUUUGUGAGUGAGAUCUAGUGUUUGAUGAAGGUAUAUUUUUAUAAGGAGUUGUGUUGGCAAAAAGAUGUAAAUGUGAGUUUGUGUAGUUAUAUGCGAGUAAUGGUAACAUUGGUUGGAUUGGGUUUGGUGAUAGGUGAGAGGUAGUUAAUGUCGCCAACUACUCGUACUGGUCGUAGUUGGAGUGAGUUAUGUCACUCUUAAUACCUCCGUUCAAAGAACGUGUAGUUUGGGAUCUUAUGUUUGCAUUUAUUACAUUCUUGUAGUAUGUGAAGGAAGGACUAUGCUAGGUGAGCACCUUUUCUUCUGUUGAGAAUUUGUCAACUUUGAUUUCCGGAUCACUCCUGUUAUAUUGAUGGUAUUAUCGAUGUAUGUUUUCUCAAUAUUUUGCUAAAUUAUUUGGUUUUAGAUUUAACCUAACCAAGAUCGAUAAGUUUUAAAAAUAAUUUGAUUUGGUUCGACAUUUUGGGUGUCUCAGAGCAUCCAUCUAACUAAACCGGUUAUAACCUAAAUGAUGGUUUGGUUCAGAUUCAUUAUAUUACCAGUCCGGUUCCUAUUGAACUCAGCGAUUAUACUAUGGUUGUAAAUAAAUUUGGGUUUUCAAAAAUAAAUUAUAAGUCAAACCGGUUACCAUAAUAUCACGUGAUUUAAGACAAGGUUUGAUGUGUGAAGACGUACCUUAAGUUCAUCGGAAGGCUUGAAACAAGCGAAGUCAAUGAGAUAAACAGAUCGUGGACGAGACAUGAAGUAGACGCAAACGGUCAAGACAAAGACACCGAAGAAUCCGAUGACGGUUGCGAUAUCAUAGUCCCAAAGCUUCUUCCAAAUCUCUUCUCCGCUUAAACUCCCAACUUCGGCACUAAACACAAGCACAAGAACCGGUAUCGUCGCCAAGUAAACCGCAUGGUUUAUGAGGUAGUGAUAACCAAGUUUCACGUACUUCAAGUUCACGGAUUGAAGAAAAUCCGGUAAACGUCUCCGGACUCUGACCGAGAACGUUGGUGAACCGGCGUUUGGACCGGAAGGUUCGAUCCCACGGUUAACAAUCUCGGUAGAGAGUAGAUCUUGUUCGCUAGACCUACUCAUUUCUUCUUUGUUUUGGAGAUAAGUUUUUGUGAGUGAGAUCUAGUGUUUGAUGAAGGUAUAUUUUUAUAAGGAGUUGUGUUGGCAAAAAGAUGUAAAUGUGAGUUUGUGUAGUUAUAUGCGAGUAAUGGUAACAUUGGUUGGAUUGGGUUUGGUGAUAGGUGAGAGGUAGUUAAUGUCGCCAACUACUCGUACUGGUCGUAGUUGGAGUGAGUUAUGUCACUCUUAA
Molecule: long non-coding RNA, 1653 nt
Filed under: Brassica napus (rape)
Lineage: Eukaryota; Viridiplantae; Streptophyta; Magnoliopsida; Brassicales; Brassicaceae
Description: long non-coding RNA (BNAP_LNC016292)
Source: RNAcentral